GAAACCUCAGAUUCAGAUUUCUCAUUUCAUACUCUCCCUUUCAAGUUCAAACUUUCACCUGUAAGAUCUUUGAUCACAGCAAAACCAGCAAACAAUCAGAAAAAAAUGAGUGCAGCGUGCAGAGCUUGGAUUGUGGCAGCAAGUAUUGGAGCAGUUGAGGCACUCAAAGACCAAGGAGUCUGCAGGUGGAAUGGGGUUCUGAGAUCAGUCCACCAACAUGUCAAGAACAACAUCAGAUCCUAUUCCCAAGUCAAGAAACUCUCCGACUCUUCGUCUUCUGCAAUUUCUAUGAAGAUGCAGAGAUCACAGGAAGACAAGUUGAGAAAAGUCAUGGAAUUGAACUGUUGGGGUCCUAAUACCAUAAGAUUUUAGAUUCUAAUUAUGUAAUUUAGAUUUAGGGUUUAUGAGUAUUGGAUUAUAUGUCAUCCCUUUUAUCAUGAGAAUUAAACGACUUAUUUCAUUGCUCAUUGUCAUUGGAUAAAAAUGGCGUUGUCAAAUUUUAAGAUCAGUGUUCUGGUGAUUGUUUUAAGCCCUGAACUUAUUAAACAAAUCCAUGAACAGGAACCAUGAACUCUUCCGGUAGAUCCAUAUCAUAAAAGCAGUCUUAACAUGGAUUUGAUGAAUUUUAAAAUUAUCUUUUGCUGCAAUAGUAAUCAAUUAACAUACAGAUGGAUGCCAUCCUUUUGGCUCGUGUGUGUGUGUGUAUAUAUAUAUAUAUAUAUGUCAAAGCACUCAGUCAACAAUUUAGGAUAGGAACCACAUCCUUAGACUUUGAGAAUAUGAUAGGAAGGUUGUUGGCCUUACUAGCUCGUAUAAUGUCAUAUUUAACUUCUUAACAAGUUAUUUUCGAGGAUGCCGUGGUAUUGCUUGCUCCAUCAGGCAGGUUGAGUGGAACCAUAUUUACAAUGAGGUUAACUUUGUCGUGGACGCAUUGACUUACAUUGGUCUUUCUGUGGAACCUCCACAUGUUUGGGAUCACUGCUUACUUGCUAGUGCCCUCAUUGCUUUUAAUUUUGAUUGUAUUGGAAAACGGUUGUACUCGUGACUUUUCGCUUUGUUACUAGUUCUUUUUUGGAUUAAAAAAAAAAAAGCACAUUGUCCUCGAAUAAUAUGGACUACUCAAGUUUCUAAAGAAAUUUGGUGUAAAGUCUUAUUCGAUGUAGACCUAAGCAAUAUUUUAAUUUGAAUAAUACUAGAAAGAUUAAAUUUUUAAACUAAAUUUGCAAACUAAAUGAUGUGUCAUUAAUAAAAAAUAAGCAUGUUAAUCAAUAGUUAAGUAAUAAUUCAAUUAUUAACAUUUACACCAUUUAGUUUAUAAAUUUGGUUUUCCUAACAUUACCCUUUUAAUUUAGUUUAAACUAGGAAGGAGAAAUUAGAAAUUAGAAGCAAUCUUGUGGAAAAUGAGUAAAUUAUAUUAGUCAAUUAAACUGAAAAAGCUAUGCACACUGCUAAUUGUGACCUUUCUUUCUUGCACGACUUAAUUCAAAAAGGAAUUUGGGUCAAAGUGUGUAUUAAAAAAAGUAUGAUUAUACAAAAAUGAGGAAUAUUAGCGACCUUCCCAUUUGAGACAUUUUCAUUCUAUUCUUGGCUCUCCUCAUUUUGCAAUAUUUUUUGUUGAUCAUAAUCAUUUACUUUCUUGAUUACUUUUCAAAGAUUACUUAUACAAAAAACUAACUAAAUCCAAAUCAUUUAAUUAUCUAAUUGUUAACCAAUAAAUAGAUGUAACAUAUUUCUCAGUUAAAUAAGAAAUUUUUGACAACGUUAAUUAAACAGUUAAAUAAUUUCUGCUUUGGUGAUUUUUUUGAAGUUGAUCUUUAGAGAGUGAUCUAAAAAGUGAACAGACUACGAUUUUCCUAAAAAAAUUACCUAUACGAAAAUAGUAAUAAUACGGACUGCAUUUUAAAUUUUUAACUCCUUACAUUGGAGAUAGCAUAAUUGACCUAAAAUCAAAGACCCCUAAUUCAAAUUUGGUGUUUUGGAAUACCAAAAACAGAAAAACCGAAAAACAAGAAAAGGACGUGGCUACUGACUCCCCCAAAGAGGAGCGUUUAACUACCCUUUGACUCAUGACCUAAAAAUGCAUGUGCUUUUUGCCCAUUGUUUUGCAACCCUCUUUGUAUCACCACAGAUUUAUAUCCCUCAUACUGGUGGCUGUGCCUUGAUUUUCGCUCUCCUUCUCCUAUUUGCUUCCUCUAUAUAUAUGCAUAAAUAAAUUCAAGAAUCCUAGAUUCAGAUUUCUCAUCUGCGAGACGGCCAGUAGUCUCUGACUUGGUCUUCAAAUCGUAAGUUUAAGCUUGUUUUCAGCUUUUGCCUCGCUUUCAAUUGAAAGGAAUCUGAAUCUCCCUUUAAAACAAAAUGAAAUCAUAAUCCCAAAACAUUAGACAACAUAAAUUACUUUUUUGUCAACAACACGGCCCUUUUUCGGAUAUCGGUUAUUUCAUACUCUCCCUUCCAAACUUUCACCCGUAAGAUCUUUGAUCACAGCAAGCUCAGAAAACAAUCAGAAAAAAAAUGAGUGCAGCGUGCAGAGCUUGGAUUGUGGCAGCAAGUAUUGGAGCAGUUGAGGCACUGAAAGACCAAGGAGUCUGCAGGUGGAAUGGGGUUCUGAGAGCAGUCCACCACCAUGCCAAGAGCAACAUCAGAUCCUAUUCCCAAGCCAAGACACUCUCCGACGCUUCGUCUUCUGCAAUUUCUAUGACGAUGAAGAGAUCACAGGAAGACAAGUUGAGAAAAGUCAUGGAAUUGAACUGUUGGGGUCCAAAUACCAUAAGAUUUUAGAUUGUAAUUAUGUAAUUUAGAUUUAGGGUUUAUGAGUAUUGAAUUAUAUGUCACCCCUUUUUCCAUGAGAAUUAAACGAGUUAAUUGUUCUGGCGAUUGCUUUAAACCCUGAAGAACUCAUUUAACAAGCCCAUGAACAAGAACUAUGAACUCUUCCGGUGGAUCCAUAUCAUAAAAGCAGUCUUAACAUGGAUUUGAUGAAAAGAUUUAACUUUUGCUGCAAUAAUAAUCAACAAACAAGAGAAAUUUUUAGUUGCGAUGGGAAUACAGAUGGUAUACUAUGUGUUUUUAUUCAAGUGGUGGAAAAUUUUAAUUUUGAAGUUAUUAACCUUUUAACACACAUACCCACCAUUUAUAUAGGGACACAUGGUGUACCACCUCGUGUGACAGUCACACUAAAAAAUCUCUCAACAUACAGAUGGAUGUGAUCCUUUUGGCUCGUAAAUUUAUGGAACUGGAUCCUCUCCUGAGCUCAGGAUGGGGAUCCUCUGAGUAGCCCAUUCAGGGCGUUCAAAUUUGAUCCAACGGCUGCAAACAGAAAGCUCCUCUAAAAGUUAUAAUAAUUGCAAUCGUUGGAUCAAGUUUGAAUGGUCCGGAUAGGCUGCUCAUGAGGAUCCCCAUCCUGAGCUCAGGAGAGGAUCCAGUUCCGUAAAUAUAUAUCAAAGUACAAUCAACUAUUUAGGACGAGGGACCACAUCCUUAGACUUUGAGAAUAUUAUAGGAAGGUUGUUGGUCUUCCCAGCUCAUAUGGUCUCUUAUUUAACUUAUUAACAAGUUAUUUUUUGAGAAUGGUUUUCAAAAAGUAACGUUUUCUCCAAAAAUUUAAGAGUGAUGUAUUCUCACCAUAAUGUUUUAUCUCCUCACCUACUUUUUAAUUAAAUUUUUAAUUAUAGGUUUGUCCAUUAUAAAAUAACCGAUAAAAACCUUGAAAAACAUCAUGGGAAAGUAUACAUUUUCUACUUGAGUUGCAACACACUAAAAUCAAGGUUUCCUUUGAAAAAAGUUUGACAGUGAAGCAUCAUGAUUUUUGACAUUCAAAGUUCAAUUCAUGGAAGUUCUCAAGGCGUGUUUAACAAUCCGUAAUCAGAAUGAAAAGAAAGAGUCUGAUUCCGAUUACGGUUUAUACCUGUGUUUACUAAAAUUUAAAGGAAUCAACAGUGUGUGGGACCCACACAAAUAAUGGAAUUCAAUUCCGGGAGAGUGAGUGAAUCCGGAAUUCAUUUGCUCUUCCUAUUAUGCCCUCUUCUCUUAUCAAUACGCCGUUCAACCCAACAAAUUAAUCUCACGAGCUUGAAUUCUGGUUAGGGGUGGGCACGGGCCGGGUCGGGCCUAAAUUUGGAGGAAUCGGACUCGACCCAUUUUAAAUUGCAACGGGCCGGGCCAGGCCGAGUAAUGAAAUUUCUAAAAUUGAAACCGGACCUAACCUAGCCCGUUUGAAACGAACCGGUUCGGGCCAGGUCCACGGGUCCAAUAACAUUUUUUCAAGAACAUAUUUGGGUCUACAAUUUUUUUAUUAGAACAGGCUUGGCCCAUUUGAAGACAACAACUUCAUUCAACCAGUUUUCCCGUUCUUAUCAUCCAACAACAUUUAAACUGUAAAAUAUGUAGACAACCAUUCCCAAUCAUCAAAUUAUAACUGCAAAUCAUAAAGCGUAGCAAUUUAAAGCAUAUGGAAUUUAGUAAGAAAACCAAUGAACAUGAAUAAGUUCAAUAUUAGUCUAUUUUGCCUUACAAGUCCAGCAAGAUCCUUUACAGAAUGAUUUUCCAAAGCUAAACUAAAACCAAAACUAAAAUCAAAACCUAAGCAAAACUAAUUAAAUCCAAAAAAUUUAGAAACUACAUCCCCAAAUUCAGUAACCCAGAAAUUUCAAAAAUCCUAAUUCAAAAGUCCUAAAUCCCUAAAUUUAGAAACCCAGAUAAUUCAAAAACCCUAAUUUAGAAAUUACCUUAAUAUGAGAGAAGAUGAUAUGAUAUUUUGAAUCACAGGAUGAUGGUGGUGUUCUCGACAGCGGUGACGGGUGGUCGCAUUCGGGAGGAGACCAUGGUGAUGGUGGUGUUCACAAGAUGACUCGACUCGAGUGAGAAAGGGGGAGCGAUAACUCUGAUCUGGGAGCAGAUGGUGUAGGGGAAGCACCUAUGUACAUCGUCGUGGCUUCAAUGAGAGGAAGAGUGAACAGUGGAGGAGGCGCUGAGGAAGCAGUGGGAGGUGAAGUGAUGGCGAGACGGCCUGCAGGGAGAAGAAACCAAGGUUCUAGAGAUGACAAAGGUGGAUGAGGGGGAGAAAAAUCAAGCCCUAGAAUCUAUGAGGAGGCAACCUGGAAGUUAAGAGAUGAUGGCUCCUGAAAAAAUAUACUUACAGGCUUUGAGAGAGAAGACGAGAGUUAGUGACAGAGAGGUGGAAAUAAGAUAUGUGGUAGAAAUUAAUGGUGGAGAUUUAAUCUCCAUAGAAUGGACGGUGGAAACGGUCCUACUCAGGUACCCGUUUUUUCAGAAAUUUGGACCCGACCUGCCUCGCCAAUUACAUGGACCCGCCCCGUAGGUCAUAGACUCGUUUGCCCACCCCUAAUUCUGGUAGAGUAAGGGAAUCAAAAAUCCGAUAGGUUCAGGAGAUUUGCAGGUUGCAUACGAGAUCUUGUUCCCGAACACCGGAUCACCGUCGUUCAGGAGGCGAUGAACCAGCCGCUUCGACAUCGCCGACAUGCAGCGUGGACGUAGCUCCAAGAUGAUGACGUCAACGUCAGUAUCUCACAGACGUGCUUUUCGCUCACCUAUUCAUCUUUCUGUGACAUUGUUUUGGCGACCGCGACCUCGAGGUCUAAUUUCUGGGUUUUUUCUUCCGCGGAGGGAAGAUGAUUGUGGCUGGGCUCUUACUUCGGCUUUUGCACAAUAGUGGACUUUAACUCUGUUGAUGCACAAAACCGGAGGUCUUGGAACAACGUAAAUCCGACCGUGAAUCUGCAUGAAAUGUAAAUAACACAAGAUGUAUAGUGGUUCAUCCUAAGGUUUGGGCUACGUCCACACUGAUUAUGUAUUUAUCUGAGGGAGAGAGAGCUCUGAGAGUUAGAGCUUUGAGAGGGGGUGAGGAGCCUUAGGAAUUGGCAUCCCCCUGUUGUGAGGGUGAGGAGUCAUUUUAUAUAAUAAGGGCUCCUCACUUAUUACAUAUUUGCCCCUUCCUUUAUUACAUAAUUACAUUUAAGUCCCCUGAGUAUUUGUACGAGAUCUAAAUACGGAGGCCCUAAAUAUGGUAUAAACAGUAGUCCCUGAAGUCUUCAGUCAAAAAAGUCUUUUGGAUGGAGACUUGAAAUUCAGUCUAUGUGUGGGCUGAAGUAGCUAGAUGUUAUCUUGAACUAAUACUUGAUAUGAGGCGGUGCUUAAAGUGAAAUACUGCUCAACUUGAAGUAACACAUGCUGCGAGGCUGCUCUGCUUGUGGCUUAUGUUGCCUUGGUUGGCUCGGCUUGUGGCAUUGAAGGUGAGGGAGUCCCUUUUAUAGAAUAAGGGCUCACUCCUCAAUACAUAAAUGCUGGGCUAGAGUUGAUGCUCGAGGCGAGGCAGUUGCUCAGUAGGCGGCGAUGCUUUCUAAUGAUGGUGAGGGAGUCCAUUUUAUAGAAUAAGGGGUCGCUCCUCGGUACAUGAAUAAUGGGUGCUCUCUAAUGAAAGUGAGGGGGUACCUUUUAUAGAAUAAGGGCUCGCUCCUCAAUACAUAAAUAAUGGGCUAAGUCCCCCAAGUAUUUUUUUAUGAGGCCCAUUUGAGGCCCAAUAUAUGGUGUAUAGUGUAGUCCCUCAAGUCUUCGGUCAAUAGAGCCUGUUUGCUGGAGACUUCAAAUUGAAUCCAUGUAUGGGCCGAAGUGGCGGUUGUUCGGAGGCGGUAUUUGUAUACCUUGCACUGAAGCUUUGUAGGUGAAGCUUUGCAAGUGAAGCUUUGAAACUAGAGCUCUGUAAAUGAAGCUUUUGAAGCUAGAGCUUUGUAAAUGAAGCUUUUGAAGAUAGAGCUUUUUGUAGCUUUUGAAGCUAGAGCUCUGUAAAUGAAGCUUUUGAAGCUGAUUGACAUGAGUGAUGCUCAUGAAUUUUUAUGUUGAUUGAUAUGAGUGAUGCUGAGUGCAUGAUGUUGUCUGAUGUCCUUGUGAUGCUGACAUGAAUGUGUUGUUAUGUAUGAAUGUAAUGCUCAUGAAUGUAUUUGAUGGCCUGGUUGGUUGGUCAUGAUGGCUCAUGAAUGAUAUUGUAUGAGUUUAAUGUGGUGGCAUGCUCAAAUAAUUUGGAGUAAUGGGCGUACUUUUGAUGACUUGGUGGUGGUUGCGGCAGAGUACCUUUUUUUUUUUGCACCUGGUGGUGGUGAAUGGCGUUGCCUGAUUUAGAGACUUAAAUUUUCAUCACUGAUGGUGCUUGACUUUUUGAUGCUUAUUUUGAUUUACAUGAUGGGGUUCAUUGAUGUCUCCAUGAAUAAGUUUGAAUGUAGGCCCUGGUGUUAUUCAAUUCCUUGGCUUUAACUUUUUGGUUUUCUUUUGAUUUUUUCUUGGUUUUGGGGCUUUUAAUUUUGUUUCUACUGUUUACUUGAUGACUUUGAUGGUAAUAGGGCAUUUGGAUAAUCUCCGAACUUUCAUCACCUGGUGUGCCUAUUAUUUUGUAGACAAUUGGUUGCUUUCGGGCCUGGUGCCUUUUUUUUUUGCUUUUUGACCCUGAUUUCUUAUGAUGUCCUUUUUAAAAAAAAUUUCACCAUUUCUUUGUUUUCCUUCUUUGCUUUCUUCUUUUGUUUUUUUUGCUUUUUUUCUGUUUCUUCUGCUUUUCUUUCUGCUUUCUACUUUGGAUAUGUCGCUUGAUGACAUGAUUAAGGGCAACAGGGGUAAUCGUGACAGAAAUAGAAAAUAUUGUGGUAGGGGUUCUCAUGGCUUGAAGCAUGUGGCUCCUUUAUUGCUGAAGGGAUGGCAUGGUUGCUUUCGGCCUGGUUGCCUUUCUUUUGCUUUUGCCUUCCCCCAUCUUUGUUGUUUUUUUUUCCUUUUGGCUUAAAGAUUUCAAACCCCAACUUGCAAGCAUCUUUUCCAUCUGACACGCUUUCACCCAAAUCGGGUGAUUGAGAAAUGAUGUAUGGAUUCGGUGCACAUAGUGAUAGGACAAGUGCCGCAAGCUUGCAUAAUGAUAGGACAUGUGCAGCAAGCUCUUCUCUUUGCCCACCAUCGCCAGAUCUGAGCUGCUUUAUUUGACCAAGAUAAUCCUGUUCACAACAUCAACUGGCAAAGCAUAAGUUGGAUCUAGGGCCUUCACCUCGGGAUAUUCAAGAAGGAAAAGUCCAGCUACACCAAAGUAUGUGUGGUAGACAUCAACAACAUCUUCUGGUCUGUCAGAAAUUUUUCCAUUUUCAAUGUCCUGGAAGUCUAAAAUGAAUUUGACAAGUUUUUCCUUAUCAAUCCAAUGAACUCUGUUAAUCAUGACCAAACUUGAAAGAACCCACCAUGAGAGUGCAGAUGAAUCAAGCGAGGCAAAACGCGGACCCUCUCAACGACGUCGGUUUUGGAGUCGAAGUCGGAGCGAACCUCAAGGUCAAGGAGCGAACCUCAAGGUCGAAGAGCUUGGAGAGGAAGAAAGAGCGGUCGAGAUGACUGACGAGCUUGCGGAUCUGGUUGGUCCGUACAGAAACGAGGCUUUUUGUUGUCGCCGUGUUGGCCGUCCUCUUGCUCGAAGAUAUAUAUACUUAAUUUGUAUGUGACUUACAGGAUUGACACCGCGGCUUCUAAUGGCUGAACCCAUUUGAAUGGCAGCGUCAUAAACCUCUUGAUACGUAAGCCACACAUACGGACCCACCUUUGUGUCGCUGACCUAUCGCCGUCCAAGCAUUGGGUUGCUCGGAUAGUUCUUAGCAGAGUCACCGCAUGCACAUGGCACUUUUACUGCUCCGUCUGGACAAGCAGCUUGGAGUUACCACAAGAUGUAUUCCGUGGAGGGGAAGAUAAAGGGCUCGUUCAGGAAAAGCUUCAGGUGGCUUAAAAGAUAAGUACACCCAAGUGCUUUAUGGCUGAGGGUUGGCGCGGGAGACUCCCAAAAAUGCCUUGAGAGAGCACUUCGACAAGCACGGCAAGAUCUUGGAGGCCGUCAUCACCUCCGACCUCCACUUCUGCACUGAUUCGUUGGGUACGACGUCGUUCUCGCCGUUGUAAUCCUCGUCGAGCUGUAGAGAGUCAGCAAGGGAGCGAGCGAGGGCACGUGCGACUUGAACGCUAGCGCGUAGCUGUGGAAUUCAUCCCGUGCUUCUGAGGGAAGCUGUGGAUGAGGUCUUUGCGGACGUUGCUCAUGGAUUUUUUCUAAAAAGGGGUGGUCAAAUUUGGUGGUUGGGAUCUCCUAAUGGAGCUGAAGAUCUCGUGGAGUGGGAUGGUGGAAGCAGUAGCUAGUCGAUUGGGUUUCGUAGAUUUUGCAGAUUCACGGUAGAGGUGAAAAAAUGAAAGAGAACCGACAUAACUUUUCGUGUCGAUUCCCACAGACGACACCAAAUGUUGAUGCACAAAACUGGAGGUCUUGGAACAACGUAAAUCCGACCGUGAAUCUGCAUGAAAUGUAAAUAACACAAGAUGUAUCCUGGUUCACCCCAAUGUUUGGGCGACGUCCACACUGAUUAUGUAUUUAUCUGAGGGAGAGAGAGCUCUGAGAGCGAGAGCUUUGAGAAGGGGUGGGGAGCCUUAGGAAUUGGCCUCCCCUUUUUGUGAAGGUGAGGAUUCCUUUUAUAGAAUAAGGGCUCCUCACAUAUUACAUAUUUGCCCCUUCCUUUAUUACAUAAUUACAUUUAAAUCCCCCGAGUAUUUGUACGAGAUCUAAAUACGGAGGCCCUAAAUAUGGUAUAAACAAACUCUUUACGAAUAGAAAAAAAAAAUCUUUAGUUUAAGUAAAAAUAACUAGUUUAAAUGUUUUUAAAUAUAAAUAUAGAAUAAAAUUAAAAAAAAAAGGCAUUUUAGUAAUCGUAUUGAUUUUUAUUCCGAUUCAGUUGAUUUAGUAAACAACUUCUAUGAAUUCAGUUUCAUUCCUAUUCCGAUUCCUAAAUAUUUAAGUAAAUAGUUUCAACAAGAAUUUGAUUUUGAUUCCUCCUCAAUUCAAUUCCUCCUCAAUCCAAUUCCUCAUAUUUUGAUUACGGUUACGUAAACGACCCCUUAAUUUUGUCUCAAUUAGGGCACAAUAUAUGAUACCGAAGGAGUAUAAGUUGUCCAAAAUGAACAAAGAUUGACUCUGAGGCAUGUGAGGUAAAAGUUUUUUUAAUAUGAAAUAAUCAAGUAUUUUUCUUAUAUUUGAUGAAGUUCUAUCCCGAUUAUGUACUUAAUUUUAGCUUUAUAUAUAUAUCUAUAUAUUAUUUGUUUAUAUUCUUUUUUCUAAGAGACAAGUUUAUAAUUUUAGAAUAUGAGAGGUUAUUUUAAAAAUAAUAGUGGAUGGGACAACACAUUUUAAUUUUUAUAACUUUUUAUGGUGUGUGUGAUUAUAGCGUGAGUGGGUCUAGCAGUUCUCAAAUUUAAUUGUGCACUCCAAAUUUUUUAUAUUUAGUAAGAAAAAGACUCUCAUGAAAAGUAUACAAUUAAAUUUUUGAUUUGCCAAUAAUAGUUACCUUUAAAUAAAGUAAAAAUAAAAACAAAAUUGUUAUCAAAACAUUUUUUUUUUAAUGUUGAUAUUCAAUUUGUUCUCAUAAUGUUUGAACACAAGUUUCACUUGAGGUCUAUUCGUAAUUAAAUUAUUACCGAAUCACACCAACUCAUAUUCAUAUUUGAUUUGUGGAUUCACUUGAUUUGGGAUCGAAUUCGUUUCAAAUCCCAACCCGUUGAAUUGGUGAAUGUGGAAAGGUAGCAAAACAAUGACAAACUGAAAAAUGAAAUGAAAUUAAUUUAAUUGAUGCUUUAUCGUGCAGCUAAAUUAAAAAUUUUGUUGUCACUUAUAUUAUGGUUUAGUAGUAUCUGUAUUCACUUAUAAGUAAGAGAUCUUAGAUUCUCAUGAAUAAUGAAUUCGAUGUUGAAUUAUGAUUUACUUAUUGUAUAACUUAGCUCAAAUCUGACAUCUCGUGACCAAAUUAUGGUUAAUUUAGCCCAAAUCCAACAUCUAAGGAAAUAUAUCACUGUAUUCAAAUUUGAGUUUUUUUUUUUUCUUUUUUUUUUUUCUGUCGGUAAAACAAUAUAGGGAUGCACGUGGCUAUGGAGGAGAACAACUUUUGCGUUUUCCUUUGGGCCGGAUGAAAAAAAAAAAAAAAAAAAACAAGCAUCAGCACGCCGUUUUGCAACCGCGUCUUACCAAUACCACUGGUUGAAGUCCCAAGCCACUUUUUCUCGUCAAUACUCCAACACUAGUCCUAAACUGGUGCCACUGUCUUGAAUCUCACUGUUCUUUUACCGUAUCAGCUGGCAUAUAUAAAUAUACGCAUACCCUACCACCCACAACAAAAAUUCAAGAAAACCCCAAAAAUCUCCUUCCCUACUCUCACAACAAAAAUCAGAAAAAAAAAAAAAAAAAAAAAAUGAGCGCAGCCUGCAGAGCUUGGGUAGUAGCAGCAAGUAUAGGAGCAGUGGAGGCACUGAAGGACCAAGGAGUCUGCAGGUGGAAUGGGGUUCUGAGGUCAGUCCACCAGAAUGCCAAGAACAACAUCAGAUCCUAUUCCCAAGCCAAGAAACUCUCCGACUCUUCGUCUUCUGCA
This 11426-nucleotide long non-coding RNA is filed under the name Malus domestica (apple). RNAcentral describes it as "long non-coding RNA (MDOM_LNC010826)". The record is from RNAcentral. Lineage: Eukaryota; Viridiplantae; Streptophyta; Magnoliopsida; Rosales; Rosaceae.